RNAcentral lists this non-coding RNA (50 nucleotides) under marine eukaryotic metagenome. RNAcentral describes it as "serC leader". It matches the Rfam family "serC leader". From Rfam's summary of the family: This family is a putative regulatory RNA structure that is found upstream of the serC-serA operon in some alpha-proteobacteria. The final stem of the structure overlaps the ribosome binding site of the serC reading frame. The record is from RNAcentral.
GAUGGGACACCCCUCCCCAACGAGGGGCAACUAUCUGUAAGGAUAGAAAA